Molecule: ribosomal RNA, 1372 nt
Filed under: uncultured bacterium
Lineage: Bacteria
Description: bacterial SSU rRNA
Rfam family: Bacterial small subunit ribosomal RNA
Source: RNAcentral
GAUGAACGCUGGCGGCGUGCCUAAUACAUGCAAGUCGAGCGAACGGACGAGAAGCUUGCUUCUCUGAUGUUGGCGGCGGACGGGUGAGUAACACGUGGAUAACCUACCUAUAAGACUGGGAUAACUUCGGGAAACCGGAGCUAAUACCGGAUAAUAUUUUGAACCGCAUGGUUCAAAAGUGAAAGACGGUCUUGCUGUCACUUAUAGAUGGAUCCGCGCUGCAUUAGCUAGUUGGUAAGGUAACGGCUUACCAAGGCAACGAUGCAUAGCCGACCUGAGAGGGUGAUCGGCCACACUGGAACUGAGACACGGUCCAGACUCCUACGGGAGGCAGCAGUAGGGAAUCUUCCGCAAUGGGCGAAAGCCUGACGGAGCAACGCCGCGUGAGUGAUGAAGGUCUUCGGAUCGUAAAACUCUGUUAUUAGGGAAGAACAUAUGUGUAAGUAACUGUGCACAUCUUGACGGUACCUAAUCAGAAAGCCACGGCUAACUACGUGCCAGCAGCCGCGGUAAUACGUAGGUGGCAAGCGUUAUCCGGAAUUAUUGGGCGUAAAGCGCGCGUAGGCGGUUUUUUAAGUCUGAUGUGAAAGCCCACGGCUCAACCGUGGAGGGUCAUUGGAAACUGGAAAACUUGAGUGCAGAAGAGGAAAGUGGAAUUCCAUGUGUAGCGGUGAAAUGCGCAGAGAUAUGGAGGAACACCAGUGGCGAAGGCGACUUUCUGGUCUGUAACUGACGCUGAUGUGCGAAAGCGUGGGGAUCAAACAGGAUUAGAUACCCUGGUAGUCCACGCCGUAAACGAUGAGUGCUAAGUGUUAGGGGGUUUCCGCCCCUUAGUGCUGCAGCUAACGCAUUAAGCACUCCGCCUGGGGAGUACGACCGCAAGGUUGAAACUCAAAGGAAUUGACGGGGACCCGCACAAGCGGUGGAGCAUGUGGUUUAAUUCGAAGCAACGUGAAGAACCUUACCAAAUCUUGACAUCCUUUGACAACUCUAGAGAUAGAGCCUUCCCCUUCGGGGGACAAAGUGACAGGUGGUGCAUGGUUGUCGUCAGCUCGUGUCGUGAGAUGUUGGGUUAAGUCCCGCAACGAGCGCAACCCUUAAGCUUAGUUGCCAUCAUUAAGUUGGGCACUCUAAGUUGACUGCCGGUGACAAACCGGAGGAAGGUGGGGAUGACGUCAAAUCAUCAUGCCCCUUAUGAUUUGGGCUACACACGUGCUACAAUGGACAAUACAAAGGGCAGCGAAACCGCGAGGUCAAGCAAAUCCCAUAAAGUUGUUCUCAGUUCGGAUUGUAGUCUGCAACUCGACUACAUGAAGCUGGAAUCGCUAGUAAUCGUAGAUCAGCAUGCUACGGUGAAUACGUUCCCGGGUAU